GCAGAUUCAGUGUAGCUGUGGAAAACAUUCACAGACUGUUUUAACUGCUUGCCAGUGUCAGCAUUGAUAGAUGAAAAGAUUCUCUGUAUGCAUGGUGGUCUAUCUCCGGAGUUGAACAAGCUUGAGCAAAUACUCAACCUGAAUCGCCCCACAGACGUGCCUGAUACUGGAUUGCUCUGUGAUCUUCUUUGGUCUGAUCCUUCCAAUGAAGCAACGGGCUGGGCCAUCAAUGAUCGAGGUGUUUCAUUCACAUUUGGUCCUGAUAAAGUUUCAGAAUUUCUUGAGAAGCAUGAUUUGGACCUUAUCUGCCGAGCACAUCAGGUUGUUGUGUUCUUAAAGAUGUGACCUACUUAUUACCUUAUAAACUACAAAGUGUAUCAAUAGUUUACUUAUGCUUUUGCAUUGUUGAAAUUGCUUGAUUGAUCUCCAGAGGACCAAGUUAUGGUUAUCGAGGCAGAGUGAUGCUUGCUUUUGAAGAUAAUGGAUCCUCAAAAAUUGGAGUCUGAUUUGACAAGCAGAUCCCUGAUGGUAAUGAUCUUGGUGGUUUGUGCGAGGAAGAUCAUGGCUUCUUCUGCUCUGCUGAAUCACUUCGCCCAGACUUUUCUGCUGGUGAAGAAGUUGAGAGGCUAGCUAUGACCGAGCUAAUAGAGGUCAUUUCAGAAGAGAACAAAUCUGGACCUCUGAUUGUGUUACUUAAGGAUGUAGAGAAAUCAUUCAUUGGAGUUACCGAGUCACUUUCAUCUUUGUGGAGCAAAUUUAAUCGCUUCCAUCUGGUGUUCUUAUUAUAGGAUCCCACACUCAGAUCUAAAUAAUUAAAUUUACAGGAUGAAGCUCUACUUACAGAUUGGAAGCAGCAGUUGGAUCGUGAUGUUGAAACCCUUAAAGCCAAAUCAAACAUUGGUAGCAUUCGCACGGACUGAGAUUGAUGGAUAUUGUGAAGGUGAACUAAUCAAGGUACCUUUGAUCUUUUAGGGAGUCAGCGGCCUUGCAAUCCCCCUCUGCAACCAUAAGAAUUUUUGUGUGCUACAGAUUUAGUACUGAUGAAUCCCUCUAUGAAGUUCCAAACAGCUGCACAAAUCUUAAGAGAGAGGUAGGAACAACAAUGGUCGUUGUUGCUGCACAAACAAAGGCUAUUGCUGGAUUCCGGCUCUCAUCAAGUGACUCCUCCCCCUCACGUUGACUUUGCGGACAGAUGUCUCAAUUCCAGUGGUGGAUCUACGAACAACAAUCCGAUGUCCUGAUCGAGAGCGAUGGAGCUAAUGUUUGAACUUGUGUGUUUGAACUUGUGAACUAUGGAUGUGAACCUGUGUGAAUUUGUGAACUUAUGUAUUUGGACUUAUGUGAAUUUGUGAACUUAUAUAUUUGGACUUAUGUGAAUUUGUGAUAUGAACAUAUAUCAAUGUGUUUGAAAUC
This is a long non-coding RNA of Zea mays, 1413 nucleotides long. RefSeq lists it as uncharacterized. NCBI's taxonomy places the organism in Eukaryota, Viridiplantae, Streptophyta, Magnoliopsida, Poales, Poaceae. The transcript has 8 exons. The record is from RefSeq and is a predicted model, not a curated record.